Molecule: long non-coding RNA, 2096 nt
Filed under: Canis lupus familiaris (dog)
Lineage: Eukaryota; Metazoa; Chordata; Mammalia; Carnivora; Canidae
Description: lncRNA (ENSCAFG00845005602.1)
Source: RNAcentral
UUUUUUCGGCUGUUUGUAUUUUUGUUUACUUCAGUUUUAUAAAAAAAAGAUUUUUAUUUAUUAAUUCAUAAGAGACACAGAGAGAGGCAGAGACAGAGGGAGAAGCAGGCUCCCCAAGGGGAGCCUGAUGCAGGACCUGAUCCCAGGACCCCAGGAUCACGACCUGAGCCAAAGGCAGACAAUCACUGAGCCACCCAGGUGCCCCUGUUUACUUAACUUUUUUAUUUUAUUUCUUAUUGUGGCAAAAUACAGGUAACAUAAAAUUUACUGGUGUAACCAUUUUUAAGUGUGCAAUUCAGGAGCAUUAAGAAUAUUUAGAGGGGUGUCUGGGUGGCUCAGUUGCUUGACUGUCCUACUUCAGAUUUUGGUUCAGAUCUUCAUCUCAGGGUCAUGAGUUCAGGCCCCACCUUGGGCUUCACACUGGGUGUGGAGCCCACUUAAAAACAAAAUAAAAAAGAAUAUUUGCAAUGUUGUGUAGCCAUUAUCAAUACUCGGUUACAGAUUUUUUCAUCACCCUACCUAGAAACCCCAUAUUCAUGAAGCAAUCAUUCCCCAUUUCCCUCUUCCCUCAGCCUUACAUGACUACUAAUCUGUUUUCUGUCUCUACAGAUUUUGCCUUUUCUGGAUAUUUCAUAUAAAUGCAAUCACACAAUAUGUGGCCUUUUGUGUCUGGCUUCUUAGAUGAUUUAGCAUGAGUCAGCUAUGUGAUCAUCUGCUAGUUUAUCUGAAAGCAGUCUUAUUCAGAAAAGGGACUUAUUUCAGUCUGUGGCCUUUCAAAACCAUUUAUUUUUCUCUACACAAAGAAGUCACUGAGUAGUUGGAAGAGGUAAACAUGUAAAUAGGAAAAUAUAAUAACAUAUGGUAAAUGCAAUGAUAGAUAUUGUUUGGGAGGAAUGCAAUUAUCCCAAACUGAGCAGCCUCAAAGGCAUUUCAUAAAGGUGAUACCAGAUUUUUGUAUGAAUGGAUUAAGAAAUGUUAAUAAAGCAAAGUGGUCUUAGGGAAAAGAAAGGAUACAUAUGUGUGUGUGUGUGUGUGUGUGUGUGUGUGUGUGUGUUGAAAAAGACACCUUGAAAUGCUUUAAGCAAAUUGACAGCUCAACAGUCUGCUAACUGAAUUGUAACUUGGAGACAAGGUCAUGGAACAUGCGGGGUUAAAAAUAAGGAUGAUGACACUGAAGUAAUUCACUAUAGCAAACCUCCAUGUCAUUGCCACGAUUGCUGGGGCUAGUCUUUCCCUCAAAUCAGAUCUCAUCUCUCUCAAAGUCUUCCAUCUUCUUAUUAAUUCACACCUUUUAAUACUUGAGGAUUCGUUGGCUCAUAAUCUUCUUUAUUCACAUUUUCUUUCUAGCUGCCACAAGCUGAUAUUAUCUCCUUUGAGGCAGAGUCACAUAGGAGACAUUGCAUCGAAUCACAAUGGAGUGUCACUAUUUCUUAUAAGCAAUGUAAAAUCAAGCACGUUGGAAAGAUGGUGAGGUAGAAAUCUUUCCUUUUAAUGAAACAAACAAAUAAAUAAUGUUAUAAGUCUUAGUCUAGGUGAGGAUGAGGAUUAGUAACAAAACUAAGCAAGUAUGACCAAUGCUUGCUUUAGGACUUACAUGGCUUGUUGCCUGUGCAAUGCAACCUUUUCCUUUGUUAACUUCAAUCUGCCUAUACUUCCUUCAUUUCCUAUAGUUUUGCUUGUUCUGUCCAUCAGGCCUUUCCCCAUCCUCAAGCCAAAGCAUGCAAACAUAAGCCCAGGUGGCUCUGCCACCAAGAUCCUAGAAUUCUUCAGGAACUAAAGGAUGGCCUUUUUCCGGGCACCUUUGGGAUGAUUCAGCCUCAUUAUAGUUGCUUUUAGUAUUCAAGCUUUGGGAAGGGCAAGAUCAGCAGGCUGAUUUGGGAUUAUAUGUAAUCUCUCUUGACUACUCAUAUCCUAAUCUAUCCAAGCCUACAGAGACCAUGUAAGGUUAUAGUCAAUGCUAGAGAAAUGGUCCCACUAGAGCAUCAACUUUCCACCCCUCUGUACCAAUACCACCAACUUUUCCAAAAAUUUAAAAUCACCUCCAUCUCAAACUCCCUCCAUGACCUUAUCCCCAAAUCAAUAAUUUCUUUGUUCUU